The sequence is an RNase P RNA, 317 nucleotides long. It matches the Rfam family "Bacterial RNase P class A", at positions 43 to 351 of the family's 367-position model. Rfam says of the family: Ribonuclease P (RNase P) is a ubiquitous endoribonuclease, found in archaea, bacteria and eukarya as well as chloroplasts and mitochondria. Its best characterised activity is the generation of mature 5'-ends of tRNAs by cleaving the 5'-leader elements of precursor-tRNAs. Cellular RNase Ps are ribonucleoproteins.
GAGGAAAGUCCGGGCUCCUAAGAGCAAGAUGCCAGCUAACAGCUGGGCAGAGUAAUCUGACGGAUAAGUGCCACAGAAAAGAAAACUCGCGCUGUAUACGUGCCACAUUUCGUGACAACAUACAACGCGAAAAGCUGAAACGGUGCGGUAAGAGCGCACCAGUGCAUUGGUAACAAUGUAGCUUGGUAAACCCCAUCUGGAGCAAGCGCAAGUAGGAAUGCGAUACAGGCGCUCUUCUGUGCAUUCGGGUUGCGUGCUUGAAGCAUGUAGUGAUAUAUGCUCUAGAUAAAUGGCCGUUCACGACAGAACCCGGCUUA